Molecule: ribosomal RNA, 1056 nt
Filed under: Citrobacter freundii
Lineage: Bacteria; Pseudomonadati; Pseudomonadota; Gammaproteobacteria; Enterobacterales; Enterobacteriaceae
Also listed under: 1 other name
Description: bacterial SSU rRNA
Rfam family: Bacterial small subunit ribosomal RNA
Source: RNAcentral
ACAUGGCUCAGAUUGAACGCUGGCGGCAGGCCUAACACAUGCAAGUCGAACGGUAACAGGAAGCAGCUUGCUGCUUUGCUGACGAGUGGCGGACGGGUGAGUAAUGUCUGGGAAACUGCCUGAUGGAGGGGGAUAACUACUGGAAACGGUGGCUAAUACCGCAUAACGUCGCAAGACCAAAGAGGGGGACCUUCGGGCCUCUUGCCAUCAGAUGUGCCCAGAUGGGAUUAGCUUGUUGGUGAGGUAACGGCUCACCAAGGCGACGAUCCCUAGCUGGUCUGAGAGGAUGACCAGCCACACUGGAACUGAGACACGGUCCAGACUCCUACGGGAGGCAGCAGUGGGGAAUAUUGCACAAUGGGCGCAAGCCUGAUGCAGCCAUGCCGCGUGUAUGAAGAAGGCCUUCGGGUUGUAAAGUACUUUCAGCGGGGAGGAAGGUGUUGUGGUUAAUAACCACAGCAAUUGACGUUACCCGCAGAAGAAGCACCGGCUAACUCCGUGCCAGCAGCCGCGGUAAUACGGAGGGUGCAAGCGUUAAUCGGAAUUACUGGGCGUAAAGCGCACGCAGGCGGUCUGUCAAGUCGGAUGUGAAAUCCCCGGGCUCAACCUGGGAACUGCAUUCGAAACUGGCAGGCUUGAGUCUUGUAGAGGGGGGUAGAAUUCCAGGUGUAGCGGUGAAAUGCGUAGAGAUCUGGAGGAAUACCGGUGGCGAAGGCGGCCCCCUGGACAAAGACUGACGCUCAGGUGCGAAAGCGUGGGGAGCAAACAGGAUUAGAUACCCUGGUAGUCCACGCCGUAAACGAUGUCUACUUGGAGGUUGUGCCCUUGAGGCGUGGCUUCCGGAGCUAACGCGUUAAGUAGACCGCCUGGGGAGUACGGCCGCAAGGUUAAAACUCAAAUGAAUUGACGGGGGCCCGCACAAGCGGUGGAGCAUGUGGUUUAAUUCGAUGCAACGCGAAGAACCUUACCUGGUCUUGACAUCCACGGAAGAAUUCAGAGAUGAGGAUUUGUGCCUUCGGGAACCUGUGAGACAGGUGCUGCAUGGCUGUCGUCAGC